GGACAGGAGAGGUCUGGGAGGACAAACUGAGUCUGGAAGUGCUGAGAUGGGAAGGAUGAAGUAGGACAGACAGGACAGGAAAGACCUGGUGGGACAGGCAGGGUUUGGAAACCCAUCAGGACAGACAGGACAGGAAGGACAGGAAAGGUCUGGAAGGACAGGCAGGGUCUGGAAGUGCUGAGAUGGGAAGGAUGAAGUGGGACAGGCAGGACAGGAAAGACAGGGAAGGUCUGGAAGGACAAGCAGAGUCUGGAAGUGCUGAGAUGGGAAGGAUGAAGUGGGACAGACAGGACAGGAGAGAUCUGGGAGGGCAGGAAAGGUCUGGAAGGACAGAGAAAGACCUGGUGGGACAGGCAGGGUUUGGAAACCCAGCAAGACAGACAGGACAGGGGAGGUUGGGAAGGUCUGGAAGUCUGAGAUAGGAAGGAUGAAGUGGGACAGGAAGGUUGGGAAGGACAGGAAAGGUCUGGACAGGGUCUGGAAAUGCUGGACAGGAAAGAACAGGCAGGACAGGGAAGGUCUGGAAGGGCAGGAAAAUACCAGGCAGAGUCUGGAAAUGCUGGGCAGGGAAACAACCGGCAGGAGAAACUGGGAUGGGCUGGGAUCAAAGGUCUGGGAGUGCCAGGAUGGGACAGACAGGGACAGGGAAGGUCUGGAAGGACAGAAAGACCUGGUGGGACAGACAGGGUUUGGAAACCCAUCAGGACAGA
Molecule: long non-coding RNA, 710 nt
Organism: Poecile atricapillus (Black-capped chickadee)
Lineage: Eukaryota; Metazoa; Chordata; Aves; Passeriformes; Paridae
Exons: 4
Source: RefSeq, a predicted model, not a curated record